RNAcentral lists this ribosomal RNA (254 nucleotides) under uncultured bacterium. RNAcentral's name for it is "partial 16S ribosomal RNA". It matches the Rfam family "Bacterial small subunit ribosomal RNA", at positions 524 to 776 of the family's 1533-position model. The record is from RNAcentral.
UACAGAGGGGGCAAGCGUUAUUCGGAAUUAUUGGGCGUAAAGGGCUCGUAGGCGGCCAACUAAGUCAAACGUGAAAUCCCUCGGCUUAACCGGGGAACUGCGUCUGAUACUGGAUGGCUUGAAUCCGGGGAGAGGGAUGCGGAAUUCCAGGUGUAGCGGUGAAAUGCGUAGAUAUCUGGAGGAACACCGGUGGCGAAGGCGGCAUCCUGGACCGGCAUUGACGCUGAGGAGCGAAAGCCAGGGGAGCAAACGGG